UUGGCCAGUUCCUUCAAACGCAUAAAUCUUUCGCCUUUUACUAAAAAUUUCAGUGGAGGAAAAAUUUUGAUGAGUCCUUAAACAAUCUUUUGUUGUGCUCAGUGUUUCUACACAGA
Molecule: small nuclear RNA, 116 nt
Organism: Bacillus rossius redtenbacheri
Lineage: Eukaryota; Metazoa; Arthropoda; Insecta; Phasmatodea; Bacillidae
Product: U5 spliceosomal RNA
Exons: 1
Source: RefSeq, a predicted model, not a curated record